This 502-nucleotide long non-coding RNA is filed under the name Callithrix jacchus (white-tufted-ear marmoset). RNAcentral's name for it is "lncRNA (ENSCJAG00000074546.1)". The record is from RNAcentral. Lineage: Eukaryota; Metazoa; Chordata; Mammalia; Primates; Cebidae.
UGGCCCUGUCCUAGUUCAAGAGCCCAUACUGGGGUUAUUAUGCCUCCAAGGAAAAAGAUGGGGCUGAGUCAGGGAGGAUGAGAAGAUGGGCUGGUGGCAGCUAGAGGGGAGGAAAGGAGGCCUUGGAAGCCACAGGUUUAUGGGAGGAUGAAUCGUGCUUUUCAUCUGCUUGUGCAUUGAAGCUGAUAAAUGGAUUCUCCUGAGAUACAUAGCAUACGACUAUGUCUGCCUUGAAGUUGAACCUAUAAAAAUCUCUUAGAGUCUUCAAGACAUUAUGGGAACAACACCCACUGAUAACCAUCGAGCACAGGCGAUGAGAUGUUGGUUGUGAAAGAAAAAGGUUUGUAAACACAGACUGAGAAUAUUUUUUAUAAACAUACUUCUUCAGGAUUCUCCCAUCUGUGGCUCCAAACAACCACAUCUUCUGAAUGGAAGUCAGAAUGAGCAAGUAGAGAACGACGCAUGAAGAGUUUAAUGUCAGGGGUGCUGGGCUGGAAACAUA